Molecule: ribosomal RNA, 440 nt
Filed under: uncultured bacterium
Lineage: Bacteria
Description: partial 16S ribosomal RNA
Rfam family: Bacterial small subunit ribosomal RNA
Source: RNAcentral
CCUACGGGAGGCUGCAGUGGGGAAUAUUCCACAAUGGGGGAAACCCUGAUGCAGCGACGCCGCGUGAGUGAAGAAGUAAUUCGUUAUGUAAAGCUCUAUCAGCAGGGAAGAAAAUGACGGUACCUGAGUAAGAAGCCCCGGGUAACUACGUGCCAGCAGCCGCGGUAAUACGUAGGGGGCAAGCGUUCUCCGGAUUUAAUGGGUGGAACGGGAGCGGGGACGGCCGUGCAAGUCUGGAGUGAAAGGCGGGGGCUCAACCCCCGGACUGCUCUGGAAACUGGACGGCUGGAGUGCAGGAGAGGUAAGUGGAAUUCCAAGUGUAGCGGUGAAAUGCGUAGAUAUUAGGAGGAACACCAGUGGCGAAGGCGGCUUACUGGACUGUAACUGACGUUGAGGCUCGAAAGCGUGGGGAGCAAACAGGAUUAGAUACCCGGGUAGUC